CUGGGAACUGCAUUCAAAACUGACAAGCUAGAGUAUGGUAGAGGGUGGUGGAAUUUCCUGUGUAGCGGUGAAAUGCGUAGAUAUAGGAAGGAACACCAGUGGCGAAGGCGACCACCUGGACUGAUACUGACACUGAGGUGCGAAAGCGGGGGGAGCAAACAGGAUUAGAUACCCUGGUAGUCCACGCCGUAAACGAUGCCAACUAGCCGUUGGGAGCCUUGAGCUCUUAUUGGCGCAGCUAACGCAUUAAGUUGACCGCCUGGGGAGUACGGCCGCAAGGUUAAAACUCAAAUGAAUUGACGGGGGCCCGCACAAGCGGUGGAGCAUGUGGUUUAAUUCGAAGCAACGCGAAGAACCUUACCAGGCCUUGACAUCCAAUGAACUUUCCAGAGAUGGAUGGGUGCCUUCGGGAACAU
Molecule: ribosomal RNA, 416 nt
Filed under: Pseudomonas mohnii
Lineage: Bacteria; Pseudomonadati; Pseudomonadota; Gammaproteobacteria; Pseudomonadales; Pseudomonadaceae
Description: bacterial SSU rRNA
Rfam family: Bacterial small subunit ribosomal RNA
Source: RNAcentral